CCUACGGGAGGCAGCAGUGAGGAAUAUUGGUCAAUGGGCGAGAGCCUGAACCAGCCAAGUCGCGUGAAGGAUGACGGCCCUACGGGUUGUAAACUUCUUUUGUCAGGGAGCAAUUGGGUCCACGCGUGGGCUUAGCGAGAGUACCUGACGAAAAAGCAUCGGCUAACUCCGUGCCAGCAGCCGCGGUAAUACGGAGGAUGCGAGCGUUAUCCGGAUUUAUUGGGUUUAAAGGGUGCGUAGGCGGAAUAUCAAGUCAGCGGUAAAAAUUCGGGGCUCAACCCCGUCGUGCCGUUGAAACUGAUGUUCUGGAGUGGGCGAGAAGUAUGCGGAAUGCGUGGUGUAGCGGUGAAAUGCAUAGAUAUCACGCAGAACUCCGAUUGCGAAGGCAGCAUACCGGCGCCCAACUGACGCUGAAGCACGAAAGCGUGGGUAUCGAACAGGGUUAGAUACCCUAGUAGUC
This 460-nucleotide ribosomal RNA is filed under the name uncultured bacterium. Its description in RNAcentral is "partial 16S ribosomal RNA". It matches the Rfam family "Bacterial small subunit ribosomal RNA", at positions 338 to 795 of the family's 1533-position model. The record is from RNAcentral.